Molecule: ribosomal RNA, 497 nt
Filed under: uncultured bacterium
Lineage: Bacteria
Description: partial 16S ribosomal RNA
Rfam family: Bacterial small subunit ribosomal RNA
Source: RNAcentral
GGGGGGGGGGGGGGGGGGGGGUGGGGGGGGGGGGUCGGGCGGGCGGGCGGGGCGCUUGCUCCUCUGGCGUGGGCGGCGGGCGGGUGAGUGACACGUGGAUAACCUACCUCUAAGACUGGGAUAACUUCGGGGAACCGGAGCUCAUCCCGGAUAACAUGUUGACCCGCAUGGUUCAACCGUGAACGACGGUCUUGCUGUCACUUCUAGAUGGAUCCGCGCCGCAUUAUCUAGUUGGUAAGGUAACGGCUUACCAAGGCAACGAUGCGUCGCCGACCUGAGAGGGGGAUCGGCCACACUGGAACGGAGACACGGUCCAGACUCCUACGGGAGGCAGCAGUAGGGAAUCUUCCGCAAUGGGCGAAAGCCUGACGGAGCAACGCCGCGUGAGUGAAGAAGGUCUUCGGAUCGUAAAACUCUGUUAUUAGGGAAGAACAAAUGUGUAAGUAACUAUGCACGUCUUGACGGUACCUAAUCAGAAAGCCACGGCUAACUACGUG